Molecule: RNA transcript, 554 nt
Organism: Thalassophryne amazonica
Lineage: Eukaryota; Metazoa; Chordata; Actinopteri; Batrachoidiformes; Batrachoididae
Gene: mrps6
Gene name: mitochondrial ribosomal protein S6
Exons: 3
Source: RefSeq, a predicted model, not a curated record
GCCCUUCCUCUCGUGUCGCAUCAUGAUUGCCGUCUGAACGCUGCGUUCCGGUGGAAUUAAAGUCUGGAAGCAUGCCUCGCUACGAGCUGUCCCUGAUCUUGAAGGUGAUGCAGCGACCGGAGACAGCGGCCGCUCUCCGGCGGACGGUGGAGGCGUUGAUGGAGCGAGGCGCGGUGGUGAGGGACUUGGAGAGUCUGGGAGAAAGGACGCUGCCCUACAAGAUCGUCAAACACUCUCAGAAGCACGACAGAGGCUCUUACUUUUUGCUGGACUUCUACGCGGCCCCCACCAUCCUCAUAGGCUUGGUGAAUCACCUGCAGCGUGAUGUGGACGUGGUGAGGCCCACCGUGCUGAAGAAGGAUGUUCCGGUGCGCACGAAGCCCUGCUGCGGGCUCCAGGUGUGACCACGUGACAGCAGCUGCAUCAGAGUUUGUCUACCACAGAGACUGUUCAGGUAGCUGACAGGGAUUUACAACCCCUCUCCAGAAGAUGUACAGCAUAUUCCUUUUCUGUAUGUUUGUUUCAGUUUGUGUGUUUUAAUAAACUUUUUCCAA